UGCAGUCGAGCGGCAGCACGGGUACUUGUACCUGGUGGCGAGCGGCGGACGGGUGAGUAAUGCCUAGGAAUCUGCCUAGUAGUGGGGGAUAACGUCCGGAAACGGGCGCUAAUACCGCAUACGUCCUACGGGAGAAAGUGGGGGAUCUUCGGACCUCACGCUAUUAGAUGAGCCUAGGUCGGAUUAGCUAGUUGGUGAGGUAAUGGCUCACCAAGGCGACGAUCCGUAACUGGUCUGAGAGGAUGAUCAGUCACACUGGAACUGAGACACGGUCCAGACUCCUACGGGAGGCAGCAGUGGGGAAUAUUGGACAAUGGGCGAAAGCCUGAUCCAGCCAUGCCGCGUGUGUGAAGAAGGUCUUCGGAUUGUAAAGCACUUUAAGUUGGGAGGAAGGGCAGUUACCUAAUACGUGAUUGUUUUGACGUUACCGACAGAAUAAGCACCGGCUAACUCUGUGCCAGCAGCCGCGGUAAUACAGAGGGUGCAAGCGUUAAUCGGAAUUACUGGGCGUAAAGCGCGCGUAGGUGGUUUGUUAAGUUGGAUGUGAAAGCCCCGGGCUCAACCUGGGAACUGCAUCCAAAACUGGCAAGCUAGAGUAUGGUAGAGGGUGGUGGAAUUUCCUGUGUAGCGGUGAAAUGCGUAGAUAUAGGAAGGAACACCAGUGGCGAAGCGACCACCUGGACUGAUACUGACACUGAGUGCGAAAGCGUGAGCAAACAGGAUUAGAUACCCUGGUAGUCCACGCCGUAAACGAUGUCAACUAGCCUUGGGAGCCUUGAGCUCUUAGUGGCGCACUAACGCAUUAAUUGACCGCCGGGGAGUACGGCCGCGUAAAACUCAAAUGAAUUGACGGGGGCCCGCACAAGCGGUGGACAUGUGGUUUAAUUCGAAGCAACGCAAAAUUACCGCCUUGACUCCAAUGAACUUUCUGAGAUAUGGGCCUUCGGAACUUGACUGCAGGUGUCGCAGCUCGUGGUGUAUCCUAAGCCCUUAUGGACUGAAGGGAACAGAGACGCGCAAAA
This 1022-nucleotide ribosomal RNA is filed under the name Pseudomonas sp. T+. RNAcentral's name for it is "bacterial SSU rRNA". It matches the Rfam family "Bacterial small subunit ribosomal RNA", at positions 56 to 1101 of the family's 1533-position model. Lineage: Bacteria; Pseudomonadati; Pseudomonadota; Gammaproteobacteria; Pseudomonadales; Pseudomonadaceae. The record is from RNAcentral.